RNAcentral lists this ribosomal RNA (429 nucleotides) under Chloroflexota bacterium. RNAcentral describes it as "Chloroflexi bacterium partial 16S ribosomal RNA". It matches the Rfam family "Bacterial small subunit ribosomal RNA", at positions 355 to 776 of the family's 1533-position model. Lineage: Bacteria; Bacillati; Chloroflexota. The record is from RNAcentral.
UGGGGAAUAUUGCACAAUGGGCGCAAGCCUGAUGCAGCCAUGCCGCGUGUGUGAAGAAGGCCUUCGGGUUGUAAAGCACUUUCAGCGGGGAGGAAGGCGAUAAGGUUAAUAACCUUGUCGAUUGACGUUACCCGCAGAAGAAGCACCGGCUAACUCCGUGCCAGCAGCCGCGGUAAUACGGAGGGUGCAAGCGUUAAUCGGAAUUACUGGGCGUAAAGCGCACGCAGGCGGUCUGUCAAGUCGGAUGUGAAAUCCCCGGGCUCAACCUGGGAACUGCAUUCGAAACUGGCAGGCUAGAGUCUUGUAGAGAGGGGUAGAAUUCCAGGUGUAGCGGUGAAAUGCGUAGAGAUCUGGAGGAAUACCGGUGGCGAAGGCGGCCCCCUGGACAAAGACUGACGCUCAGGUGCGAAAGCGUGGGGAGCAAACAGG